This 253-nucleotide ribosomal RNA is filed under the name uncultured bacterium. RNAcentral describes it as "partial 16S ribosomal RNA". It matches the Rfam family "Bacterial small subunit ribosomal RNA", at positions 524 to 776 of the family's 1533-position model. The record is from RNAcentral.
UACGUAGGAGGCAAGCGUUAUCCGGAUUUAUUGGGCGUAAAGGGCGUGUAGGUGGCCAGUAAAGUCUCUUGUGAAAUCUCCCGGCUCAACUGGGAGGGGUCAAGGGAUACUCACUGGCUCGAGGGAAGCAGAGGAGAAUGGAAUUCCCGGUGUAGUGGUGAAAUGCGUAGAUAUCGGGAGGAACACCAGUGGCGAAAGCGAUUCUCUGGGCUUAACCUGACACUGAGGCGCGAAAGCGUGGGGAGCAAACCGG